This 379-nucleotide ribosomal RNA is filed under the name uncultured bacterium. Its description in RNAcentral is "bacterial SSU rRNA". It matches the Rfam family "Bacterial small subunit ribosomal RNA", at positions 523 to 898 of the family's 1533-position model. The record is from RNAcentral.
AUACGGAGGAUCCGAGCGUUAUCCGGAAUCAUUGGGUUUAAAGGGUCCGUAGGCGGGUUAGUAAGUCAGUGGUGAAAUCCGGCAGCUUAACUGUCGAAUUGCCGUUGAUACUGCUAAUCUUGAAUUACUGUGAAGUGGUUAGAAUAUGUAGUGUAGCGGUGAAAUGCUUAGAUAUUACAUGGAAUACCAAUUGCGAAGGCAGAUCACUAACAGUAUAUUGACGCUGAUGGACGAAAGCGUGGGGAGCAAACAGGAUUAGAUACCCUGGUAGUCCACGCCGUAAACGAUGGAUACUAGCUGUUUGUCUACCUUCGGGCGGAUGAGUGGCUAAGCGAAAGUGAUAAGUAUCCCACCUGGGGAGUACGGUCGCAAGACUGAA